UGAGGAAUAUUGGUCAAUGGGCGCAGGCCUGAACCAGCCAAGUAGCGUGAAGGAUGACUGCCCUAUGGGUUGUAAACUUCUUUUAUAAAGGAAUAAAGUCGGGUAUGUAUACCCGUUUGCAUGUACUUUAUGAAUAAGGAUCGGCUAACUCCGUGCCAGCAGCCGCGGUAAUACGGAGGAUCCGAGCGUUAUCCGGAUUUAUUGGGUUUAAAGGGAGCGUAGAUGGAUGUUUAAGUCAGUUGUGAAAGUUUGCGGCUCAACCGUAAAAUUGCAGUUGAUACUGGAUAUCUUGAGUGCAGUUGAGGCAGGCGGAAUUCGUGGUGUAGCGGUGAAAUGCUUAGAUAUCACGAAGAACUCCGAUUGCGAAGGCAGCCUGCUAAGCUGCAACUGACAUUGAGGCUCGAAAGUGUGGGUAUCAAACAGGAUUAGAUACCCUGGUAGUCCACACGGUAAACGAUGAAUACUCGCUGUUUGCGAUAUACUGCAAGCGGCCAAGCGAAAGCGUUAAGUAUUCCACCUGGGGAGUACGCCGGCAACGGUGAAACUCAAAGGAAUUGACGGGGGCCCGCACAAGCGGAGGAACAUGUGGUUUAAUUCGAUGAUACGCGAGGAACCUUACCCGGGCUUAAAUUGCAGAUGAAUUACGGUGAAAGCCGUAAGCCGCAAGGCAUCUGUGAAGGUGCUGCAUGGUUGUCGUCAGCUCGUGCCGUGAGGUGUCGGCUUAAGUGCCAUAACGAGCGCAACCCUCGUGUCCAGUUACUAGCAGGUUAUGCUGAGGACUCUGGACAGACUGCCAUCGUAAGAUGUGAGGAAGGUGGGGAUGACGUCAAAUCAGCACGGCCCUUACGUCCGGGGCUACACACGUGUUACAAUGGGGGGUACAGCAGGCAGCUACCGGGCGACCGGAUGCCAAUCCCGAAAGCCUCUCUCAGUUCGGACUGGAGUCUGCAACCCGACUCCACGAAGCUGGAUUCGCUAGUAAUCGCGCAUCAGCCACGGCGCGGUGAAUACGUUCCC
Molecule: ribosomal RNA, 1017 nt
Filed under: uncultured bacterium
Lineage: Bacteria
Description: bacterial SSU rRNA
Rfam family: Bacterial small subunit ribosomal RNA
Source: RNAcentral